UAAUAAUGCAAAUAAAAUAAAACAGUUUGUUAAUUGCAUAGAAAUGAAACAAAAAAUAAAUAAAGGUGGGCAUGGGUACAAUUGUGCCAUGUUUAACUGUUUAAAUAUAUCGGGACGACUAUCAGGGCUAAGCUUUUUUCGUUUCCCGAAAGAUGCAGAAAGGUGAAAAUGUAAAUUAUGGUUAAGAAACUGUGGACGUACAAUUCCAGUUCCAAUGGAAAACUUAUAUAAAAAUUAUCGAAUUUGUGGAAAUCAUUUUGAUUCUUCAAUGUUUCUAAAUGAUUUGAAGAAUCGCCUCCAAUCACAUGCAGUUCCAAAAUCAAUGGAUCUACAAAAAGAAACUGAUUCAAUACAUGUCACAGCCUUAAUUUUAGACAAUCACGUAUCUUCUUUAUGUAAUGAUCAGGAUGCAAAAAUUAUAAAUGAAGACAAUCAAAAGAAUAAAGAAGUACAAACUGAACAACUAUCAGUUACAUAUGAUAAGAAAAUACAAACUGAUUGCAAAUUGUCUAAAAAUUCACCAAGAAAAAUAAUAUUGAAAAAGAAAAUUAACUUAUUACAUAAAAAAAUUACAGAAAAUUAAGAAGCAAUUAAUUCAUCAGAAAGGAAGUUAUAUACGUACAAAGAGAAAGAAAGAGCUUUCUGUUUCAGAAUAUUGUGAUAUUAAUAAAUAUAAAACAAU
This 682-nucleotide unclassified non-coding RNA is filed under the name Acromyrmex echinatior (Panamanian leafcutter ant). RNAcentral describes it as "52 kDa repressor of the inhibitor of the protein kinase-like, transcript variant X3". The record is from RNAcentral. Lineage: Eukaryota; Metazoa; Arthropoda; Insecta; Hymenoptera; Formicidae.